GAAAGCGUGGGUAGCAANCAGGAUUAGAUACCCUGGUAGUCCACGCCCUAAACGAUGUCGAUUAGCUGUUGGGCAACUUGAUUGCUUAGUAGCGUAGCUAACGCGUGAAAUCGACCGCCUGGGGAGUACGGUCGCAAGAUUAAAACUCAAAGGAAUUGACGGGGACCCGCACAAGCGGUGGAUGAUGUGGAUUAAUUCGAUGCAACGCGAAGAACCUUACCUGGUCUUGACAUGUACGGAAGAACUCAGAGACGAGUUUGUGCCUUCGGGAGCCGUAACACAGGUGCUGCAUGGCUGUCGUCAGCUCGUGUCGUGAGAUGUUGGGUUAAGUCCCGCAACGAGCGCAACCCUUGUCAUUAGUUGCCAUCAUUUAGUUGGGCACUCUAAUGAGACUGCCGGUGACAAACCGGAGGAAGGUGGGGAUGACGUCAAGUCCUCAUGGCCCUUAUGACCAGGGCUUCACACGUCAUACAAUGGUCGGUACAGAGGGUAGCCAAGCCGCGAGGUGGAGCCAAUCCCAGAAAACCGAUCGUAGUCCGGAUUGCACUCUGCAACUCGAGUGCAUGAAGUCGGAAUCGCUAGUAAUCGCAGGUCAGCAUACUGCGGUGAAUACGUUCCCGGGUCUUGUACACACCGCCCGUCACACCAUGGGAGUGGGGGAUACCAGAAGUAGGUAGGGUAACCGCAAGGAGCCCGC
This 697-nucleotide ribosomal RNA is filed under the name uncultured bacterium. RNAcentral describes it as "bacterial SSU rRNA". It matches the Rfam family "Bacterial small subunit ribosomal RNA", at positions 755 to 1453 of the family's 1533-position model. The record is from RNAcentral.